RNAcentral lists this ribosomal RNA (465 nucleotides) under Vreelandella stevensii. RNAcentral describes it as "partial 16S ribosomal RNA". It matches the Rfam family "Bacterial small subunit ribosomal RNA", at positions 338 to 795 of the family's 1533-position model. The record is from RNAcentral. Lineage: Bacteria; Pseudomonadati; Pseudomonadota; Gammaproteobacteria; Oceanospirillales; Halomonadaceae.
CCUACGGGGGGCUGCAGUGGGGAAUAUUGGACAAUGGGGGGAACCCUGAUCCAACCAUGCCGCGUGUGUGAAGAAGGCCCUCGGGUUGUAAAGCACUUUCAGUGAGGAAGAACGCCUGGUGGUUAAUACCCAUCAGGAAAGACAUCACUCACAGAAGAAGCACCGGCUAACUCCGUGCCAGCAGCCGCGGUAAUACGGAGGGUGCGAGCGUUAAUCGGAAUUACUGGGCGUAAAGCGCGCGUAGGUGGCUUGAUAAGCCGGUUGUGAAAGCCCCGGGCUCAACCUGGGAACGGCAUCCGGAACUGUCAAGCUAGAGUGCAGGAGAGGAAGGUAGAAUUCCCGGUGUAGCGGUGAAAUGCGUAGAGAUCGGGAGGAAUACCAGUGGCGAAGGCGGCCUUCUGGACUGACACUGACACUGAGGUGCGAAAGCGUGGGUAGCAAACAGGAUUAGAUACCCGAGUAGUC